AGCGAACGUUUGCGGCGGGCCUAACACAUGCAAGUCGUACGCACUGGCAAUAGUGAGUGGCGCACGGGUGCGUAACACGUGGGUAAUCAACCCUUCAGCUUGGGAUAACGACUUGAAAGGGUCGCUAAUACCGGAUACGGCGCGGGAGGCUUCGGCUUCUCACGAGAAAGCCUCGCAAGGGGCACUGAAGGACGAGCCUGCGGCCCAUCAGCUAGUUGGUGAGGUAAGAGCUCACCAAGGCGAAGACGGGUAGCUGGUCUGAGAGGAUGAUCAGCCACACUGGAACUGAGACACGGUCCAGACUCCUACGGGAGGCAGCAGUGGGGAAUAUUGCGCAAUGGGCGAAAGCCUGACGCAGCCACGCCGCGUGAGCGAUGAAGGCCUCGGUCGUAAAGACUCUGUGGGGAGAGACGAAGAAAGACCCGUGAAGAGCGGGCCCGUUGACGGGUAUCUCCUUAGCAAGACACCGGCUAACUCCGUGCCAGCAGCCACGG
Molecule: ribosomal RNA, 494 nt
Filed under: uncultured bacterium
Lineage: Bacteria
Description: bacterial SSU rRNA
Rfam family: Bacterial small subunit ribosomal RNA
Source: RNAcentral